GCCUGCGUAGUGAUAAUGGUAGCACGUGAAUCUUGUAAAUUUGAGGUAGGGGUUCGAUUCCUCUCGCGGGCA
Transfer RNA from Cryptococcus amylolentus CBS 6039, 72 nucleotides. It matches the Rfam family "tRNA". Rfam says of the family: Transfer RNA (tRNA) molecules are approximately 80 nucleotides in length. Their secondary structure includes four short double-helical elements and three loops (D, anti-codon, and T loops). NCBI's taxonomy places the organism in Eukaryota, Fungi, Basidiomycota, Tremellomycetes, Tremellales, Cryptococcaceae. The record is from Rfam.